GGGGACCGGAGCCGUCGGAGGCGGGGAGGAGCUGGGUGCCGUGGAAGGCGGGGAAGAAGCGGCGGAUGGAGGGGGGAACGCGGGGGUCGGCGGAGAAGGAGGUGUAGAAGGCGAGCUCGGCGGCGCCGCGGUUGGAGGAUUGGAGGGGUUUGUAGAAGAGGCCGGCGCCGUCAAUGAGGGGGCCGAGGCCGCCGGCAGCGGCGGUGUGGCCGGCGACUUGAUGCUCCGGG
This 230-nucleotide unclassified non-coding RNA is filed under the name Hevea brasiliensis (rubber tree). The record is from RNAcentral. Lineage: Eukaryota; Viridiplantae; Streptophyta; Magnoliopsida; Malpighiales; Euphorbiaceae.